Molecule: ribosomal RNA, 860 nt
Filed under: uncultured bacterium
Lineage: Bacteria
Description: bacterial SSU rRNA
Rfam family: Bacterial small subunit ribosomal RNA
Source: RNAcentral
AUCAUGAUUUACACUUGAGUGAGUGGCGAACUGGUGAGUAACACGUGGGAAACCUGCCCAGAAGCGGGGGAUAACACCUGGAAACAGAUGCUAAUACCGCAUAACAACUUGGACCGCAUGGUCCGAGCUUGAAAGAUGGCUUCGGCUAUCACUUUUGGAUGGUCCCGCGGCGUAUUAGCUAGAUGGUGGGGUAACGGCUCACCAUGGCAAUGAUACGUAGCCGACCUGAGAGGGUAAUCGGCCACAUUGGGACUGAGACACGGCCCAAACUCCUACGGGAGGCAGCAGUAGGGAAUCUUCCACAAUGGACGAAAGUCUGAUGGAGCAACGCCGCGUGAGUGAAGAAGGGUUUCGGCUCGUAAAACUCUGUUGUUAAAGAAGAACAUAUCUGAGAGUAACUGUUCAGGUAUUGACGGUAUUUAACCAGAAAGCCACGGCUAACUACGUGCCAGCAGCCGCGGUAAUACGUAGGUGGCAAGCGUUGUCCGGAUUUAUUGGGCGUAAAGCGAGCGCAGGCGGUUUUUUAAGUCUGAUGUGAAAGCCUUCGGCUCAACCGAAGAAGUGCAUCGGAAAUUGGGAAACUUGAGUGCAGAAGAGGACAGUGGAACUCCAUGUGUAGCGGUGAAAUGCGUAGAUAUAUGGAAGAACACCAGUGGCGAAGGCGGCUGUCUGGUCUGUAACUGACGCUGAGGCUCGAAAGUAUGGGUAGCAAACAGGAUUAGAUACCCUGGUAGUCCAUACCGUAAACGAUGAAUGCUAAGUGUUGGAGGGUUUCCGCCCCUUCAGUGCUGCAGCUAACGCAUUUAAGCAUUCCCGCCUUGGGGAGUACGGCCGCAAGGCUGAAAACUCAAAGGAAUUGA